This 506-nucleotide ribosomal RNA is filed under the name uncultured bacterium. RNAcentral describes it as "bacterial SSU rRNA". It matches the Rfam family "Bacterial small subunit ribosomal RNA", at positions 29 to 524 of the family's 1533-position model. The record is from RNAcentral.
AACGAACGCUGGCGGCGUGUUUAAGACAUGCAAGUCGCACGGGGCGACAUGAGUAGCAAUACGAUUGUCGUUCAGUGGCGCACGGGUGAGUAACACGUGAAUCACAUGCCCUGCAGAGGGGGAUAGCCCAGGGAAACUUGGAUUAAUACCCCAUGGUCUCGCAAGAGUAAACGGUGGCCGCAAGGCUGUCGCUGUAGGAUUGGUUCGCGCCCUAUCAGCUUGUUGGCGGGGUAACGGCCCACCAAGGCUACGACGGGGUACCUGGUCUGAGAGGACGAUCAGGCACACUGGAACUGAGACACGGUCCAGACACCUACGGGUGGCAGCAGUCGAGAAUAAUUCACAAUGGGGGCAACCCCUGAUGGUGCAACGCCGCGUGGAGGACGACGGUCUUCGGAUUGUAAACUCCUGUCGUCCGGGAGCAAGACCUGGUCGUUAAUAGCGACAGGGUUGAUAGUACCGGAAGAGGAAGGGACGGCUAACUUCGUGCCAGCCGCCGCGGUAAU